GCCAGCCCGCUCAGAAUCAAGGAAUUGACGGGGCCGCACAAGCGGUGGAGUAUGUGGUUUAAUUCGAUGCAACGCGAAGAACCUUACCUGGUCUUGACAUCCCGGAGACCCUUAGGAAACUAGGGGGUGCUUCCAUCUGGAAGAAUCUGGAGACAGGUGCUGCAUGGCUGUCGUCAGCUCGUGUCGUGAGAUGUUGGGUUAAGUCCCGCAACGAGCGCAACCCUUGCCUUUAGUUGCCAGCAGUUCGGCUGGGCACUCUAAAGGGACUGCCGGUGUUAAACCGGAGGAAGGUGGGGAUGACGUCAAGUCCUCAUGGCCUUUAUGACCAGGGCUACACACGUACUACAAUGGCCGAUACAAAGGGCAGCGACACUGCGAGGUGAAGCCAAUCCCGUAAAAUCGGUCUCAGUCCGGAUUGGAGUCUGCAACUCGACUCCAUGAAGUUGGAAUCGCUAGUAAUCGUGGAUCAGCAUGCCACGGUGAAUACGUUCCCGGGCCUU
Molecule: ribosomal RNA, 500 nt
Filed under: uncultured Desulfobulbus sp.
Lineage: Bacteria; Pseudomonadati; Thermodesulfobacteriota; Desulfobulbia; Desulfobulbales; Desulfobulbaceae
Description: bacterial SSU rRNA
Rfam family: Bacterial small subunit ribosomal RNA
Source: RNAcentral